This 305-nucleotide long non-coding RNA is filed under the name Prunus persica (peach). RNAcentral's name for it is "long non-coding RNA (PPER_LNC004772)". The record is from RNAcentral. Lineage: Eukaryota; Viridiplantae; Streptophyta; Magnoliopsida; Rosales; Rosaceae.
AGACAUGUUUCAAAGAAAGUUUAUUAUCUGGUGGAAGAGAGCACUGAAGUGUGUAUGCUUCAACUGUGCCUCUGGAUGAAAACAUGAAUGGUUUUCAUACUCACUUUUUAUAAUUGAAAGAAUAAUAAUGUUUAUACAAGUUGAAUAAAAAGCAAAUAUGUACAAAUUGACAAAUGAAAAGCAAGCCUAAAAGCCUACUAAAGAAAGCCUAUUAAAAGUAAACGAAGUUAGUCUCUCCAAUAUGGGAAAAUUCAUGCCGGUUGUUUUUGUUGUUUUCUUUUCCUAUUUAGCCCCUUUACCCAUCA